ACCUCAACCCUUGCUCCUACCUCUAUCACCAACGAGCAAAUGCCUUAGAUCAUGGAAAACUUGUCCCAGAGGAAAAUACUCUUUUAUGACCAUCACACUUCGUUCUUUUUGCGCUCACGGUCACGCUAACAAAGUUCCUUCAUCUAUUCGGAAGACGUUGUUCCAUUGUUACCAGAUAUCGAUUGAGGCGAGGGUGUUGCUUUUUGAAAACAUUCGAAGUGGUAGUAAGGUCUUAAUGGAUUAAUUAGUGGGCAUUCAGGAGCCUAACUUUGUGCAAUUGACCAAGUCGAUGGAUUCAUCCUUAUUUGCAAACACGAUAUGCUGCUAAGGAGUUUUAUGUGGAGUUAACAUGUUCAGUGACUAGCCUUAUUUGUGGUAUUUAUUGGCACUUCAGGUUUUUACUGUUAUAUUGGUAACUAUUUCCUAAUGAGUUGACCAUUGUUGUUACAAGUAAAAGUAUACCAUGCUUGGAAGUGAAACCCACCUGUUGUUAGCAUUCCAUGAGAAAGAAAGUAGAGAUUUGUGUUUUUCAUGAAUGAGAAAUUAAUGAAGAAGCAAAAGAAAACUUUAU
This is a long non-coding RNA of Vigna angularis (adzuki bean), 571 nucleotides long. RefSeq lists it as uncharacterized. The transcript has 3 exons. The record is from RefSeq and is a predicted model, not a curated record. NCBI's taxonomy places the organism in Eukaryota, Viridiplantae, Streptophyta, Magnoliopsida, Fabales, Fabaceae.